This 253-nucleotide ribosomal RNA is filed under the name uncultured bacterium. RNAcentral describes it as "partial 16S ribosomal RNA". It matches the Rfam family "Bacterial small subunit ribosomal RNA", at positions 524 to 776 of the family's 1533-position model. The record is from RNAcentral.
UACGUAGGGACCAAGCGUUGUUCGGAUUUACUGGGCGUAAAGGGCGCGUAGGCGGCUUAACAAGUCACUUGUGAAAUCUCCGGGCUUAACUCGGAACGGCCAAGUGAAACUGUCAAGCUAGAGUGCAGAAGGGGCAACUGGAAUUCUCGGUGUAGCGGUGAAAUGCGUAGAUAUCGAGAGGAACACCUGCGGCGAAGGCGGGUUGCUGGGCUGACACUGACGCUGAUGCGCGAAAGCUAGGGGAGCGAACGGG